GAAAUGCGAUACUUGGUGUGAAUUGCAGAAUCCCGUGAACCAUCGAGUCUUUGAACGCAAGUUGCGCCCGAAGCCAUUACGCUAAGGGCACGUCUGCCUGGGCGUCACGC
Molecule: ribosomal RNA, 110 nt
Filed under: Aucuba japonica
Lineage: Eukaryota; Viridiplantae; Streptophyta; Magnoliopsida; Garryales; Garryaceae
Also listed under: 6 other names
Description: partial 5.8S ribosomal RNA
Rfam family: 5.8S ribosomal RNA
About the family: 5.8S ribosomal RNA (5.8S rRNA) is a component of the large subunit of the eukaryotic ribosome. It is transcribed by RNA polymerase I as part of the 45S precursor that also contains 18S and 28S rRNA. Functionally, it is thought that 5.8S rRNA may be involved in ribosome translocation.
Source: RNAcentral